This is a transfer RNA of Spirochaeta africana DSM 8902, 82 nucleotides long. It matches the Rfam family "tRNA". From Rfam's summary of the family: Transfer RNA (tRNA) molecules are approximately 80 nucleotides in length. Their secondary structure includes four short double-helical elements and three loops (D, anti-codon, and T loops). The record is from Rfam. NCBI's taxonomy places the organism in Bacteria, Pseudomonadati, Spirochaetota, Spirochaetia, Spirochaetales, Spirochaetaceae.
GCGAGAGUGGUGGAAUUGGUAGACACGCCAGAUUUAGGAUCUGGUACCUUCGGGUGUGGGGGUUCAAGUCCCUUCUCUCGCA